This 71-nucleotide transfer RNA is filed under the name Camelus bactrianus (Bactrian camel). It matches the Rfam family "tRNA". From Rfam's summary of the family: Transfer RNA (tRNA) molecules are approximately 80 nucleotides in length. Their secondary structure includes four short double-helical elements and three loops (D, anti-codon, and T loops). The record is from Rfam by way of RNAcentral. Lineage: Eukaryota; Metazoa; Chordata; Mammalia; Artiodactyla; Camelidae. RNAcentral also lists the same sequence under 3 other names.
GAGGGUAUAGCUCAGUGGUAGAGUGCAUGCUUAGCAUGCACAAGGUCCUAGGUUCAGUCCCAGUACCUCCA